RNAcentral lists this ribosomal RNA (711 nucleotides) under uncultured bacterium. RNAcentral's name for it is "bacterial SSU rRNA". It matches the Rfam family "Bacterial small subunit ribosomal RNA", at positions 67 to 755 of the family's 1533-position model. The record is from RNAcentral.
CGGCAGCGCGGGGGUUUCGGCCUCUGGCGGCGAGUGGCGGACGGGUGAGUAAUAUAUGGGAACGCGCCCGGCGGCGGGGGAUAACUCUGGGAAACCAGAGCUAAUACCGCAUGCGUUUCGCCUUUCGGGGCGAAAGAAAGCGGGGGACUUCUUCGGAGGCCUCGCACCGGCGGAGCGGCCCAUAUCCGAUUAGCUUGUUGGCGGGGUAACAGCCCACCAAGGCCGCGAUCGGUAGCUGGUCUGAGAGGACGGACAGCCACACCGGGACUGAGACACGGCCCGGACUCCUACGGGAGGCAGCAGUGGGGAAUAUUGGACAAUGGGGGCAACCCUGAUCCAGCAAUGCCGCGUGUGUGAAGAAGGCCUUCGGGUUGUAAAGCACUUUCGCGGGGGAAGAAAAAGCGAGGGGUAAUAUCUCUCGCGCCUGACGGUACCCCGAGAAGAAGCACCGGCUAACUACGUGCCAGCAGCCGCGGUAAUACGUAGGGUGCGAGCGUUAAUCGGAAUUACUGGGCGUAAAGCGUGCGCAGGCGGCCUGUCAAGUCGGGUGUGAAAUCCCCGGGCUCAACCCGGGAAUUGCGCUUGAAACCGGCGGGCUAGAGUACGGCAGAGGAAGGUGGAAUUCCGUGUGUAGCGGUGAAAUGCGUAGAUAUACGGAAGAACACUCAUGGCGAAGGCAUCCUUCUGGGCCGUAACUGACGCUCAUGCACG